AUGCAAGUCGAACGAAGUAGCAAUACUUAGUGGCAGACGGGUGAGUAACAUGUAGGUAUCUACCCUAUGGUGAGGAAUAACACGAGGAAACUUGUGCUAAUACCUCAUAAGUCUUUACGGAGAAAGCUUUAUGCGCCAUUGGAUGAGCCUGCACUUGAUUAGUUUGUUGGUGGGGUAAUGGCCUACCAAGACUGUGAUCAAUAGCUGAUUUGAGAGGAUGAUCAGCCACAUUGGGACUGAGACACGGCCCAAACUCCUACGGGAGGCAGCAGUAGGGAAUCUUGCACAAUGGGGGAAACCCUGAUGCAGCGAUGCCGCGUGAGUGAAGAAGGCCUUUGGGUUGUAAAGCUCUUUCGUCGGGGAAGAAAAUGACGGUACCCGAAUAAGAAGGUCCGGCUAACUUCGUGCCAGCAGCCGCGGUAAUACGAAGGGACCUAGCGUAGUUCGGAAUUACUGGGCUUAAAGAGUUCGUAGGUUGUUAAAAAAGUUGGUGGUGAAAUCCCAGAGCUUAACUCUGGAACUGCCAUCAAAACUUUUUAGCUAGAGUAUGAUAGAGGAAAGCAGAAUUUCUAGUGUAGAGGUGAAAUUCGUAGAUAUUAGAAAGAAUACCAAUUGCGAAGGCAGCUUUCUGGAUCAUUACUGACACUGAGGAACGAAAGCAUGGGUAGCGAAGAGGAUUAGAUACCCUCGUAGUCCAUGCCGUAAACGAUGUGUGUUAGACGUUGGAAAUUUAUUUUCAGUGUCGCAGCGAAAGCAUUAAACACACCGCCUGGGGAGUACGACCGCAAGGUUAAAACUCAAAUGAAUUGACGGGGACCCGCACAAGUAGUGGAGCAUGUGGUUUAAUUCGAAGAUACGCGCAGAACCUUACCAACACUUGACAUGUUCGUCGCGACUCUAAGAGAUUAGAGUUUUCGGUUCGGC
RNAcentral lists this ribosomal RNA (924 nucleotides) under uncultured marine bacterium. RNAcentral's name for it is "bacterial SSU rRNA". It matches the Rfam family "Bacterial small subunit ribosomal RNA", at positions 55 to 1025 of the family's 1533-position model. The record is from RNAcentral.